Molecule: long non-coding RNA, 557 nt
Filed under: Betta splendens (Siamese fighting fish)
Lineage: Eukaryota; Metazoa; Chordata; Actinopteri; Anabantiformes; Osphronemidae
Description: lncRNA (ENSBSLG00000006268.1)
Source: RNAcentral
AGGAGCAGUCAUUCAGCAACAAACAAUAGCUAGAUUAAGUCAAAAGAAAGACAUAAAAUAAAGAGACGAGGAGAACGGAGCUCGCGUGUAAAAGGUUGACAGAGGGAGUUGAAGGAGGAGGAAGAGACACCAACGCUGUCUGGAGGCAGAGAAGCGGGCAGCAGGAGAGAGCAAUUAUCCUGAGAUAAAAAGCAUGGCAGGGAGGCAGAUAAGAUCUGUCUACCUCAUCUCUGAAGGGCCUUGGCGAGCACUCAGAGGAAUAUUGAUCACGACGCUCUUGCGUGGCAGGCCUUCACCGGGGCUGCGGCGUUUAGCCGACAGAGCCCUUUGCGAGCGCUGGCCUGGGAUUUAAGCUCCGCGUUGGGCUCCGAACGAGCCCGGCUGCCCACGAGGCAUGGCGAGACAAACCAUUCUUGGCUCUCCAGCAUCGACUGGGAAAAGCCUGUCAGGGAACGAAUAGAGCUCUACUUCGCCGCGCUAAGUGCUGCUAAGGUGCUUUUGAGCAACAAAUCGAGGCCGAGGCCGCUCGGGUCGGGUCUAGGAGCAGGACUGUGAGG